RNAcentral lists this unclassified non-coding RNA (315 nucleotides) under plant metagenome. Its description in RNAcentral is "partial contains 5.8S ribosomal RNA, internal transcribed spacer 2, and large subunit ribosomal RNA". The stretch from base 1 to 105 matches the Rfam family "5.8S ribosomal RNA", at positions 50 to 154 of the family's 154-position model. The record is from RNAcentral.
GAACUGCGAUAAGUAAUGUGAAUUGCAGAAUUCAGUGAAUCAUCGAGUCUUUGAACGCACAUUGCGCCCCCUGGCAUUCCGGGGGGCAUGCCUGUCCGAGCGUCAUUGCUGCCCUCAAGCCCGGCUUGUGUGUUGGGUCGUCGUCCCCCCCGGGGGACGGGCCCGAAAGGCAGCGGCGGCACCGUGUCCGAUCCUCGAGCGUAUGGGGCUUUGUCACCCGCUCGAUUAGGGCCGGCCGGGCGCCAGCCGGCGUCUCCAACCUUAUUUUUCUCAGGUUGACCUCGGAUCAGGUAGGGAUACCCGCUGAACUUAAGC